UCGAGGGUAAAGUCCACGCUUGGGCGGUGGGAGCUCACAGCUCUGUCCUCACACAGGGCUGAGGUUGCUGGGGAAGGCAGGGCUGUGGUCUAGAGGAAGAUGAGACUGUUGGGUCUUCUUCUGUGCCUGGUGGCAGGUCCCCAAGGUGUCCUGUCCCAGGUGCAGCUGCAGGAGUCGGGCCCAGGCCUGGUGAAGCCCUCGCAGACGCUCUCCCUCACCUGCACUGUCUCUGGUGGCUCCAUCACAACCAGCUAUUAUGCUUGGAGCUGGAUCCGCCAGCCCCCAGGGAAGGGGCUGGAGUGGAUGGGAGUCAUAGCUUAUGAUGGCAGCACUUACUACAGCCCAUCCCUCAAGAGCCGCACUUCCAUCUCCAGGGACACGUCCAAGAACCAGUUCUCCCUGCAGCUGAGCUCUGUGACCCCUGAGGACACGGCCGUGUAUUACUGUGCCAGAGACACAGUGAGGGGAAGUCAGGGUGCGCCCAGACACAAACCUCCCCGCCUGGGGAGCCCGGGACCCCCAGGGGGUGCUCAGAAGCCACCAAGGGCAGGGCUGAGCCCCAGAGCAGGUGCAGAGGGGCCGGGAGGGUUUUGUGGUUAGAAUCCCUGCUUUCCU
Molecule: non-coding RNA, 615 nt
Organism: Vicugna pacos (alpaca)
Lineage: Eukaryota; Metazoa; Chordata; Mammalia; Artiodactyla; Camelidae
Source: the annotation of a RefSeq genome assembly